RNAcentral lists this ribosomal RNA (360 nucleotides) under uncultured organism. RNAcentral's name for it is "bacterial SSU rRNA". It matches the Rfam family "Bacterial small subunit ribosomal RNA", at positions 527 to 887 of the family's 1533-position model. The record is from RNAcentral.
GUAGGGUGCGAGCGUUAAUCGGAAUUACUGGGCGUAAAGCGUGCGCAGGCGGUUAUGUAAGACAGUUGUGAAAUCCCCGGGCUCAACCUGGGAAUUGCAUCUGUGACUGCAUAGCUAGAGUACGGUAGAGGGGGAUGGAAUUCCGCGUGUAGCAGUGAAAUGCGUAGAUAUGCGGAGGAACACCGAUGGCGAAGGCAAUCCCCUGGACCUGUACUGACGCUCAUGCACGAAAGCGUGGGGAGCAAACAGGAUUAGAUACCCUGGUAGUCCACGCCCUAAACGAUGUCAACUGGUUGUUGGGUGCAUUAGUACUCAGUAACGAAGCUAACGCGUGAAGUUGACCGCCUGGGGAGUACGGCC